Molecule: long non-coding RNA, 1220 nt
Filed under: Pan troglodytes (chimpanzee)
Lineage: Eukaryota; Metazoa; Chordata; Mammalia; Primates; Hominidae
Description: long non-coding RNA NONPTRT009750
Source: RNAcentral
GGAAAUUCUUUACCUGGCUGAUUCAUGACAAACUUGGUGGGAGAAGUAGCUGAUGGGGAAGGGACUCAGUCCUCGGGCUGGCCUUGAAGGAUGAGGACAAGAAUGCUGCAGUCGCCUGGCCCUGGGCAUCCUGCCCUGGCCUUGGAGAGGAGCUGCAUUCUGCAGAGCCAGAAGGAGGACAAGAGAGGCACCCUGCCCAAGCACCAGGCUGAGCCUCUGCAGUCCCUGCCCGGAGAAGACUUACAGCCGCCGGGAGCUUGGGAAGGUUACAGAGAAAAAGCCUCUUGCAGCACUUGGGAGGACACUGCCUGCAGCGCCCCGCCUGCCGUGGGCCUGCUCCAGGGCAUAUACCCAUCUGCUGUGUGGCUGGACCAUGUGGGUAAACUCUCCGGAGGCCUGCGUGAGCUAAGGGGGAUGCUCCAUCCCAUGCACAGUGGAGCCUGCCUCCAUGGGCCCUGCUGGCCUUCAUGGCACCACCUCUCCCAUAGACAUCAGAGCUCCGAUGCCAUCGCUUCCCCCCACAGACCCACUCGGUGGUGCCCAGCCAGGCUACCCUGCACAGCAUCCCACUCAUCUAUGCCAGAGUGAUGGCUGCUCAGCUAGCCACGAGAGGGUAGCACACCCUCUGCCCAUCAUGCAACACGUCUGAAGCCCACCUAGACCCCUUCAUCCCAUGGACACUACAUUAAGCACACGCACAAGCACCUGGGCUUCAGUGGGGGCUUAUUUGGCCUCCCCAGGAUGGACUGGAGCGUCAGUAGUGCCCGGGUUCAUCACAGGACAGAUACUCAAGACACUCUUAUCACCAUUAGGUGGACUUGGAGGAGCAAAAAACGGGCGCAGUGGCUCCUCAGCAGAGACACUCCUGAAUAUAUAGACAUGGGAACCACCUUCAGCGUCAAAAAAGGAAACAUUCUGCAUGCCCAUAUCCAGAAAAAUCCCCACUCGCUGUAACUUGCGGUCUACGAAGAGGAAAGUCAGCGGCACCGUGCUGGCAGAGAGGCGGCUUCCAUCCCUCAAACUCACAGUCCAGAAUCCACGCUCUGUGGUCAGAUGGAUCCUCCCUUUGCGGUGAACAGAUUCUCUGCAGACUCCCAGGUCCCAUUCUGCGCUUGUUCCCACAUCCACCUCCCAGUAGUGGCGGCCACAGGUAAAGCGAGGGGAGCCCAGGACACAAAUGGACACAUCAAAUCUCUCGUGUCUCCUUUUUCAUUUCUGAU